Molecule: long non-coding RNA, 2589 nt
Organism: Sarcophilus harrisii (Tasmanian devil)
Lineage: Eukaryota; Metazoa; Chordata; Mammalia; Dasyuromorphia; Dasyuridae
Source: Ensembl
AAAAGGAGAUCAUCAUACUCUCCCUGACAUCUCAGGAAGGGAGAUGAAAAACACCAAAGGGAAGUGGGGAUUGCUAACAGGUUUCUGGGCUGAAGGGUUUUAUUAGAAACAGAUAUGCACAAACCCAUAAGCAUGGGAGGUAUUACACAAGCACAUAUCAGUAAUUCACAGGCUAUUAGUGAUAACUCUCCCACAACCAGUGCAGGCUCAAUGUGGUGCAACGAAUAUCAAUUGUACAUGCAAGUAGUGAUAUAAUAAACAAUAUGAAUCAACAGAGUGUUGUAAAAGAUUUCCAGAAGUCCUAGAAGGAUGGUAUGUAAACAACAGUCACACAUACACCUUCUUCAGCAGCCAAGAGAUAGUCCAAAACCAAUCUAUUGUCCAUUGCUUCACAUGUCAGGGGAUCCAAUGAACCCCACAAGUUUUUGAAGUCCUGCAACAGUCUUAUGAUUCCUGAGGGUUUUGAAGUCCUACAAUUUUUGAUGUCCAUGAGUCAAACACCAAAAUUGCCAUGCUCAUUCAGUGGUGAGCACAGUCAGCAAUGGAACCACCCUAUGUUUCUUGGGUCUUCUCCUUCCUUUCAUUUCUCUCUGAUGGACAAAGCGAAUAAGGCUCAUUGGCACCCAUCUGAAUCCUUCAUCUGUGGAGAUACAAGCAAACCCUCUCCCCCAAGCAGUAUACCUAUCUGGUCCCUUCCAUUCACCACUUUCUGGGUCUCUCCACAUCAUCUGGCAAUUAUCUAACAAUACUUGAGCCUCUUCCAUGGGACACUGUCCUUCCAAUGGGUUAUAAAAUUUGCCUGCCAGAGCCAGUAAAUCUUUGUCAAAAAUCAAGAGAUUAAUAGUAUAAAGAGCUAGAUUUAGAAGUUCUCUAGGGUUGCCUGUGGCUCCCCCUUUCUUUUCUUUUUGGAGGAGUGUCUUAAUGUUUCUGUUUCUCCUCUCUACUACUUUCUAUACUUGAGGAUUAAAAACUAUGCUAAUGGCGUGUAAAAUCUUAUACUGUGCACAAAAGUGUGCAAAAUGUUUAGAAGUAUAUGCAGGCCCAUUGUCUGUUUUUAUUGCUUGUGGCACACCCGUGAUUGCAAAUGCUUGUAUAAGGAAUUCACUGAUGACUUGGGCUGUCUCUGUUGCUGCUGGUAUUGCUUUUACAAUCCUGAAAAAGUGUCUACCACAACAUGGAUAAAAGACAGACGACCAAAAGAUUUAUAAUGGGUCACAUCCAUUUGCCAAAUUUCAUUGGGUCUCAAACCACGAGGGUUCUUCCCUGGAGGCAGUGUAGGAUCAUAUAAAGGCAAGCUGAGCAGGUUUUUACUAUGCUCCUAGCUUCCUCUCUUGUUAUUCCAAAUUGUAAGUGUAAAGCUUGAGCAGCCUGAUGAUAUUUAGAAUGAGAUUCUUGGGCUGCCUGAAAUAAAGGAGUAUUGGCCAACAUGGUUAGAAGGCUAUCUGCCUUUGAAUUACCAUCUCAAAUACGACCUGGAAGUCCCCUAUGAGAGUGGACAUGCAAGAUAUAAAUCUUACCUGGAUGCCUUCUCAUUUGCUCUUGAAGUUCCUUAAAGCGCUGAUGUAUAUAUUACAGGCUACAAAUUGUAUUUGGACUGUGGCAAUUCUUUGUACCACACCUACUGAAUAGGCUGAAUCAGAUAUUAUAUUUAUAUCUCCUGGAUAAUAAGUAAGAGCUAGCUAGAAUGAUUGCAUACAAUUCAUUCUGCUGAGUGGACUGAAAAGGAGUUCUGACUACUCUCUUUAUAGUUAAGUCAUGAGAAUAUAUAGUACAAAUAUUAUGUUUGGAUACAUCUGUAAAGAGAGUUGGUCCUUUAAGAGGAACUUCAGAAACCUUUUCUUCUAGAAUCCAUCGUCAAUUAUGUAAUAGUCUGGUUAUCUUUAAUGGAGACCCAUGUGUAAAAUUUGGAGCCGUGGCUAAUAAAAUUUGCCACUCUGGGAUGGUUUCACAGCAUACAUUAAUUUGUGCAUUAGUAUAAAAGGUGUAUAUCUUGUCAGGUUUUAUCCCAGAUACUUGUACUGCUCACUUAAUGGCCUUUAAUAAAAUUCUAGCCACAAGCACUGGGUAAAGAGUGAGAGUUUGUCCUGGUUGUGCCCGGAGUUUCACCCCCUCUAUCACACUGUCUGCUUGAUGAAGGACUGCUGUGGGUGCCUCUUGUGUAACAAAAACUGAUAUUUCUAAGGAUAUUUGAGUGACUUUCAACUACACAGUUCAACUUCUCUCAAAGUCUCUUGAGCUACAAGCUGGCUUGGUGAGUUUAAAGUACUGUUUCCCCUUAAAAUGUCACAUAAUGGUUAUAACUGAUAGGUAGUCAAUCCUCACACUGGACGCAUCCAUUGGAUGUCUCCUAUCAAUUUCUGAAAGUCAUUUAAGGUGUUUACCUUCUCUGUUCUUAAGGACAGUUUUUGCACUAUGAGCACCUUAGGGUAUACUUCAUAUCCUACUUUUUCCAAGCAAAAGACUUCCCACAUCGCUUACAUUCAUAAGGCUUCUCUCCAGAUUGAUGCCCAAUUGGAACUGUACUAUGGCAGAACACCUUAACAAGGUUUAUCUCUAGUGAGAAUAUUCUAAUGUCAAGGCAGGUCUCUC